GAUGAACGCUGGUGGCGUGCCUAAUACAUGCAAGUCGAGCGAACGGACGAGAAGCUUGCUUCUCUGAUGUUAGCGGCGGACGGGUGAGUAACACGUGAAUAACCUACCUAUAAGACUGGGAUAACUUCGGGAAACCGGAGCUAAUACCGGAUAAUAUUUUGAACCGCAUGGUUCAAAAGUGAAAGACGGUCUUGCUGUCACUUAUAGAUGGAUCCGCGCUGCAUUAGCUAGUUGGUAAGGUAACGGCUUACCAAGGCAACGAUGCAUAGCCGACCUGAGAGGGUGAUCGGCCACACUGGAACUGAGACACGGUCCAGACUCCUACGGGAGGCAGCAGUAGGGAAUCUUCCGCAAUGGGCGAAAGCCUGACGGAGCAACGCCGCGUGAGUGAUGAAGGUCUUCGGAUCGUAAAACUCUGUUAUUAGGGAAGAACAUAUGUGUAAGUAACUGUGCACAUCUUGACGGUACCUAAUCAGAAAGCCACGGCUAACUACGUG
RNAcentral lists this ribosomal RNA (497 nucleotides) under uncultured bacterium. Its description in RNAcentral is "partial 16S ribosomal RNA". It matches the Rfam family "Bacterial small subunit ribosomal RNA", at positions 28 to 507 of the family's 1533-position model. The record is from RNAcentral.